This 293-nucleotide ribosomal RNA is filed under the name uncultured bacterium. RNAcentral's name for it is "partial 16S ribosomal RNA". It matches the Rfam family "Archaeal small subunit ribosomal RNA", at positions 455 to 747 of the family's 1478-position model. The record is from RNAcentral.
GUGCCAGCCGCCGCGGUAAUACCGGCAGCCCGAGUGAUGACCGAUCUUAUUGGGCCUAAAGCGUCCGUAGCUGGCUACGCAAGUCCGUCGGGAAAUCCACUCGCCCAACGAGUGGGCGUCCGACGGAAACUGCAUAGCUUGGGACCGGAAGGCUCGAAGGGUACGUGCGGGGUAGGAGUGAAAUCCCAUAAUCCUGGACGGACCGCCGAUGGCGAAAGCACGUCGCGAGAACGGAUCCGACAGUGAGGGACGAAAGCCAGGGUCUCGAACCGGAUUAGAAACCCGGGUAGUCC